Molecule: ribosomal RNA, 497 nt
Filed under: uncultured bacterium
Lineage: Bacteria
Description: partial 16S ribosomal RNA
Rfam family: Bacterial small subunit ribosomal RNA
Source: RNAcentral
GAUGAACGCUGGCGGCGUGCCUAAUACAUGCCAGUCGAGCGAACGGACGAGAAGCUUGCUUCUCUGAUGUUAGCGGCGGACGGGUGAGUAACACGUGGAUAACCUACCUAUAAGACUGGGAUAACUUCGGGAAACCGGAGCUAAUACCGGAUAAUAUUUUGAACCGCAUGGUUCAAAAGUGAAAGACGGUCUUGCUGUCACUUAUAGAUGGAUCCGCGCUGCAUUAGCUAGUUGGUAAGGUAACGGCUUACCAAGGCAACGAUGCAUAGCCGACCUGAGAGGGUGAGCGGCCACACUGGAACUGAGACACGGUCCAGACUCCUACGGGAGGCAGCAGUAGGGAAUCUUCCGCAAUGGGCGAAAGCCUGACGGAGCAACGCCGCGUGAGUGAUGAAGGUCUUCGGAUCGUAAAACUCUGUUAUUAGGGAAGAACAUAUGUGUAAGUAACUGUGCACAUCUUGACGGUACCUAAUCAGAAAGCCACGGCUAACUACGUG